CUACUCACUAUGGACAAGAGAGAAAAGGAAGAGAAUCUAAAAUUAAGAGUAAAUUGAUUCAACAACAAACACAACAACCACAAACUCAGUGAAAUUCCACAUAAGGUCUUCUUCAUAAAUGGGAACUAUGAAAUGUGAGACCUGAAUCUAUUUUUGUGAGGAAGUUGAGCACAAAAGGAUGAAAAGAUCAAUGGAACUUGUGUUUGAAGAAAUUGGCAUGCUUAUUCUUUUAUGAAAGGCCCUAUGGUUAUUUGAUACUUGGCUUGGUAUCAUGGUCCAACUUUUCUUGAAUAUCACAUGCCUUGAGCUGGAACACCUGGCCAAUAUGUAAGAGACACCUUGCCAAGGUCCUAGUCGACGAGGUUCCAGAUUUCGGAAGUAAUCUGAAGGAAUAUCCUCCUAAUUGUGAUUUUGAAGUAUUAGGCAGUGCUAUUCCACAAGCCAGCACGGACAGACCGCGUGAUAACUAGAUCUAGAGAAUACAUAAAUCAAAGGGGUGGUAAUGAUAUGAAAAUAAAGUGAAAAAGACACAUGAAGGAACUAAACGUCCUGUUGAA
Molecule: long non-coding RNA, 557 nt
Organism: Nicotiana attenuata
Lineage: Eukaryota; Viridiplantae; Streptophyta; Magnoliopsida; Solanales; Solanaceae
Exons: 3
Source: RefSeq, a predicted model, not a curated record